This is a long non-coding RNA of Biomphalaria glabrata, 1902 nucleotides long. RefSeq lists it as uncharacterized. The record is from RefSeq and is a predicted model, not a curated record. NCBI's taxonomy places the organism in Eukaryota, Metazoa, Mollusca, Gastropoda, Planorbidae. The transcript has 4 exons.
GUCACUAUAAUCAAUAGUGUAUUGCCUGUAGAUCUAGUACCUGUACUAAUAUUAGUAGAUGUAGAUCUAUAAUAAUAAUACUUUUUAAUAGUAGAAAGUAGAUUUAUAAUCUAUCAAUUCUAUCUAAUCUAGAUCUAAAUCUAGACUUCACUUUCACAUCACAUGAUUAUUGAUACAGACAGUGAAUGAAACGAAUGCAGGGAUUAUAUUAUAGUUUAUACUGACUUAUAGCUCUACCAGUUGAUUAUCAUCAUCUGAGGUCAUCUCGAAUAAUAAUCUAGACUAUUAUUAACAAGUAGAACCAUGCCAACCAGUUCUGAUGAUGUACCAGAAUGGCUCAAGGAUCAUACUUAUACUAUUUCUACUCUCUGGGCAGACAUUAAUAAUAUUGGCAUCCAUUCAAUAUUUAUUUUAUGUUUGGAAAUGCAAGAAAAAGGCAUGCAUUCCUGACAAGUCAAUGAUUGGUUGCACCUCUUAAAGAUAACUUUCUGUUAUGAGAAAAGAUGAGAUUCUUGGACUCCUGCAUAGCACCACCAGAAAGGAAAAUCCCAUCAUGUUGCAAAAUAAAAGUCUUGGACCAAUUUUAAUUUAAGAUAUAUAUAUUAUACUGUAAGCUCUAUACAUAUUUAUGUAUAUCCUGUCAUUCAGCCUACAGGUUUGGAUUUAGUAUUUCUUUAAAUCUGUUUGAUAUUGUACUUGAAAACUAUUAAUCUGAGCCCCAUUAAAACAAUAGGGAGUGCAGUGAACGAGUGGUAAAGCACUUGGCUUCUGAACUGAGGGUUCCUGGGUUCAAUUAAGACUGGGAUUUUCAAUUUCAGAAUUCAAAAGGCUAGGGAUACAUGGCAAUAGUAAGGAAUAAGUAAAGGCAGUUUGGGGAUCCAUGGCUGAAUGGUUAAGUCAUGGGUUUGAAUCUCUGUGAAGACUCGGAUUAAAAUUUUUUAGAUUUUUGGGUGCCCCUGAGUCCACCUAACUCUAAUGGGUAGCUGACUUUUGUUUUGAAAAGUAAAGAUGGUUGGUUGUUGUGCUGGCCACAUGAUGCACUGGCCAAAGAAUCAAAUGACCUUAACAUCAUCUGCCCUAUAGAUUGUGACGUCUGAAAUGGGAUAUUUUUUCAAAAGGUGGUUGGUUGUUGUGCUGGGUACAUGACACCCUUGCUAACCAUGGGGCACAGAAACUGAUAAACUUUAUAUCAUCUGCCCCAUAGAUUGCAAGAUAUGUAAGGGAAAUUUUACUUUUUUAAAAUUAAAAUAAGAAUCUAUCAAAAGUAAACAUAAAAUAUGGUGCAUUCUCCUUAAAACUAAAACAUGGUGCGAAAGUUUAAAAUGUUGGCAAAAAAAAGCAACAUCAUAUAUUCUUAAUUCCCUUUGCAAAACUUACUGAGAAGAACAUGCAUGUUGUUCCCUCAUAAGUUUCUUGACAGAGGAAAUCUUGUUUAUAUUAGAUUUGAAUUAAGCAAAUUAAGAAAAAAAUUAUAAUCAUUAUUUCAAAUGGUUGUAUCUAAACCUUAUGAAUUAUUUUUCUGUUAUAAGUAUAUUGAGAUUAAUGGAUAAUCAUGAAAUUGUUAAAUAAUUGCUGCUAUCAUUCCAUUGACUAAAGAACCAUAAUUUUUUUUUUUUUUUAAUUAAUUUCAAAAUGAUUUUUUUCAAGCAUAGAGUUCAUAUAGAUCUUGAGUGAAUUUUUUUUUUUAUUUGACUAAUGCUUCAAUUUUAUUGUAUCAUAUAAGUUGUUAAUUUUUAUUACCCAGAAUAUUUAAAAAAUGAGUACACUAUUUUCAUGUAAUAAUGUAACUUGGUAUUCACACAAUGCUCAAAAUACACCAUAAUCUUUAGGCCAUACAGAUUUGUAUAAAUUAACUUGUUUAAAUACAUUGUAAAUGUAUAUUGUUUGGAUAAGAAUAAAGUU